RNAcentral lists this ribosomal RNA (253 nucleotides) under uncultured prokaryote. Its description in RNAcentral is "partial 16S ribosomal RNA". It matches the Rfam family "Bacterial small subunit ribosomal RNA", at positions 524 to 776 of the family's 1533-position model. The record is from RNAcentral.
UACGUAGGUGGCAAGCGUUGUCCGGAUUUAUUGGGUUUAAAGGGUGCGUAGGCGGCCUAUUAAGUCAGUGGUGAAAUAUCUCAGCUCAACUGGGAAUGUGCCAAUGAUACUGAUGGGCUUGAGUACAGAUGAGGUAGGCGGAAUUGACGGUGUAGCGGUGAAAUGCUUAGAUAUCGUCAAGAACACCUAUAGCGAAGGCAGCUUACUAGGCUGUAACUGACGCUGAGGCACGAAAGUGUGGGGAUCAAACAGG